RNAcentral lists this ribosomal RNA (1402 nucleotides) under uncultured bacterium. Its description in RNAcentral is "bacterial SSU rRNA". It matches the Rfam family "Bacterial small subunit ribosomal RNA". The record is from RNAcentral.
AGAGUUUGAUCCUGGCUCAGGAUGAACGCUAGCGACAGGCUUAACACAUGCAAGUCGAGGGGCAGCAGGGGCGUAGCAAUACGCCUGCUGGCGACCGGCGCACGGGUGAGUAACACGUAUGAAACCUGCCCGUAGCAGGGGGAUAAGCGGAAGAAAUUCCGUCUAAUACCGCGUAAUAACCGUUUGGGGCAUCCCUUAAGGUUUAAAGGAGCGAUCCGGCUACGGAUGGUCAUGCGUCGCAUUAGCUAGUCGGCGGGGUAACGGCCCACCGAGGCGACGAUGCGUAGGGGUUCUGAGAGGAAGGUCCCCCACACUGGUACUGAGACACGGACCAGACUCCUACGGGAGGCAGCAGUGAGGAAUAUUGGUCAAUGGCCGGAAGGCUGAACCAGCCAAGUCGCGUGAGGGAAGACGGCCCUAUGGGUUGUAAACCUCUUUUGUCGGGGAGCAAAGGCCGCCACGCGUGGCGGAUUGAGAGUACCCGAAGAAAAAGCAUCGGCUAACUCCGUGCCAGCAGCCGCGGUAAUACGGAGGAUGCGAGCGUUAUCCGGAUUUAUUGGGUUUAAAGGGUGCGCAGGCGGGAUGUCAAGUCAGCGGUCAAAUCGAGGGGCUCAACCCCUUUCCGCCGUUGAAACUGGCGUCCUAGAGUGGGCGAGAAGUACGCGGAAUGCGUGGUGUAGCGGUGAAAUGCAUAGAUAUCACGCAGAACUCCGAUUGCGAAGGCAGCGUACCGGCGCCCAACUGACGCUCAUGCACGAAAGCGUGGGUAUCGAACAGGAUUAGAUACCCUGGUAGUCACGCAGUAAACGAUGAAUACUAACUGUCCGGCCCGAUCGGGGGCUGGGCGGUACAGCGAAAGCGUUAAGUAUUCCACCUGGGGAGUACGCCGGCAACGGUGAAACUCAAAGGAAUUGACGGGGGCCCGCACAAGCGGAGGAACAUGUGGUUUAAUUCGAUGAUACGCGAGGAACCUUACCCGGGCUCAAACGACGGAUGAAUGUUUUUGAAAGGAGGCAGCCCUUCGGGGCAUCCGUCGAGGUGCUGCAUGGUUGUCGUCAGCUCGUGCCGUGAGGUGUCGGCUUGAGUGCCAUAACGAGCGCAACCCCCAUCGCCAGUUACCAGCAAGUGAAGUUGGGGACUCUGGCGAGACUGCCGGCGCAAGCUGUGAGGAAGGCGGGGAUGACGUCAAAUCAGCACGGCCCUUACGUCCGGGGCGACACACGUGUUACAAUGGCAGGUACAGAGAGAUGCCACCUGGCGACAGGGAGCAGAACUCGAAAGCCUGUCUCAGUUCGGAUCGGAGUCUGCAACCCGACUCCGUGAAGCUGGAUUCGCUAGUAAUCGCGCAUCAGCCAUGGCGCGGUGAAUACGUUCCCGGGCCUUGUACACAACGCCCGUCAAG